This 22-nucleotide microRNA is filed under the name Hyalella azteca. RNAcentral's name for it is "miR-713". Lineage: Eukaryota; Metazoa; Arthropoda; Malacostraca; Amphipoda; Hyalellidae. The record is from RNAcentral.
GUUGCUCUGCUGGCAACAUCUG